This 478-nucleotide ribosomal RNA is filed under the name uncultured bacterium. Its description in RNAcentral is "bacterial SSU rRNA". It matches the Rfam family "Bacterial small subunit ribosomal RNA", at positions 29 to 524 of the family's 1533-position model. The record is from RNAcentral.
AUUGAACGCUGGCGGCAUGCUUUACACAUGCAAGUCGAGCGGCAGCGCGGGGGCAACCCUGGCGGCGAGCGGCGAACGGGUGAGUAAUACAUCGGAACGUACCCAGGAGUGGGGGAUAGCCCGGCGAAAGCCGGAUUAAUACCGCAUACGAUCUUAGGAUGAAAGUGGGGGACCGCAAGGCCUCACGCUUUUGGAGCGGCCGAUGUCCGAUUAGCUAGUUGGUGGGGUAAAGGCCACCAAGGCGACGAUCGGUAGCUGGUCUGAGAGGAUGAUCAGCCACACGGGGACUGAGACACGGCCCCGACUCCUACGGGAGGCAGCAGCAAGGAAUUUUCCGCAAUGGGGGCAACCCUGACGGAGCAACGCCGCGUGACGGAUGACGCCUCUUGGGGUGUAAACGUCUUUUGCCGGGGAGAGAACGGACGGUACCCGGCGAAUCAGGACCGGCUAACUACGUGCCAGCAGCCGCCGCCGUAAC